RNAcentral lists this transfer RNA (71 nucleotides) under Ovis aries (sheep). It matches the Rfam family "tRNA". Rfam says of the family: Transfer RNA (tRNA) molecules are approximately 80 nucleotides in length. Their secondary structure includes four short double-helical elements and three loops (D, anti-codon, and T loops). Further hydrogen bonds mediate the characteristic L-shaped molecular structure. tRNAs have two regions of fundamental functional importance: the anti-codon, which is responsible for specific mRNA codon recognition, and the 3' end, to which the tRNAs corresponding amino acid is attached (by aminoacyl-tRNA synthetases). tRNAs cope with the degeneracy of the genetic code in two manners: having more than one tRNA (with a specific anti-codon) for a particular amino acid; and 'wobble' base-pairing, i.e. permitting non-standard base-pairing at the 3rd anti-codon position. The record is from Rfam by way of RNAcentral. Lineage: Eukaryota; Metazoa; Chordata; Mammalia; Artiodactyla; Bovidae.
UCUUGGUGGCUCAGAUAGUAAAGCAUCAGCUUACAAUGUUGGAGACCCAGGUUUGAUCCCUGGAUCAGGAA